Molecule: ribosomal RNA, 301 nt
Filed under: uncultured bacterium
Lineage: Bacteria
Description: partial 16S ribosomal RNA
Rfam family: Bacterial small subunit ribosomal RNA
Source: RNAcentral
CAGUCGCCGCGGUAAGACAGAGGAUGCAAGCGUUAUCCGGAAUGAUUGGGCGUAAAGCGUCUGUAGGUGGCUUUUCAAGUCCGCCGUCAAAUCCCCGGGCUCAACCCUGGACAGGCAGUGGAAACUACCAAGCUGGAGUACGGUAGGGGCAGGGGGAAUUUCCGGUGGAGCGGUGAAACGCGUUGAGAUCGGAAAGAACACCAACGGCGAAAGCACUCUGCUGGGCCGACACUGACACUGAGAGACGAAAGCUAGGGGAGCAAAUGGGAUUAGAUACCCCCGUAGUCCCUGUCUCUUAUAC